GGCGAACAUGCAGAAGAAUUUGCAAUCUUCGUUGGGAUAAUAAUCCACUCGGCGCAUUGAAAGUUGGCCUACUUCAGUCAUCCUGUCGUCCGGUACCUGUCCGAAGCUCUAUCAAGUUGACAUGCCUUCCAACCUUGAUGCACGCCCGACACAUGCUCACAACAAUUUUCAACAAAUGUACCUGCCUAACUCAAGCGACGCAAGAGCAUCCGGUGGUAAGGCCCCAGAACGACUUUGAAACUGCUUUUACAAGUUACAUCAUAGUGUAUUUCAGUCACCGCUGCGACAGGCGACCACAGUGCUUCAGAAACGCUCCUUACUAUCAGCUGCCUCGCUCGCAAACCCUUUCGCAACAAGUUGCGUCCCUGGCGUGUGCGAGCUAUAGGGUAUUGGGUUAUCAACGGUUCUCAUUCACCCAACGCAAAAGCUCGUCAUGCCCAUAGGAUAAUAACGAGCGCUACCACAUGCAAUUACUGGCCCCAUGCACUAAGUACCAGAACGGAAAGAAUGAGGGCGGGCGCCACGUUCAAAACGCCACUAAGGACCACCUGGCCGGCUCCUCUCAGCGCAAUUCUCGGAGAAUAUGCAAUAGUAGUCCUAAGCAGUAGUACCUGUAAGCCGCGAGUUCGUAUUUACCUUUCAACCCUGAUGGGUGCCAUCAACUGCGAGGGCUGUUUAAAGGCACGCAGCGCAGAGAGGCGCUUCCCAUAUCCUGCCAGGCACGUGUUGUACUGCUCUCCAGUACCGCCGUAACCCCUACGACUUUCGAUGUGCAUGCAAUGCAAUAAAAGCAAACACCUCCAAGAAAACGCAAAAGAACCGGGUGGUGCCUGUUUCGUCCCCUCGACAUUGACCUUCACUUCGCUUCGUCAAUAAAUACAUAUACAUAGAACGGCAAAUGCGCACAACGUAAGGUUGACAUCGACAGCGCUGCUGCCCCGCGCUCUGACCUCAAACCGCCUCCCCAACGCAAGCAUCGUCUGGGCUCUCUUGCCGUAUCCCCUCCAUGUGUGUGUGUGUGUGUGUGUGUGUGUGUGUGUGUGUGUGUGUGUUCAACACACUGUGUUGCCACACGCCAUACAUCAACACGAAGGAGGGGGGAAAAUAGGAUGGAAAGAAAACACAACGUUGUGCCUCACUCCCGCCGCCUAACAAUUGGGCUCGGCACUGGUCCUCCCGGACCCCGGCGGCCCCCAUGGAUGAAUGCAUGCAUGCAGAGACACACGCAUGCAUGCAUGCAUGCACCACCGCCACCCCUACCAACACGCUUCGGAGUGUCGUCCAGGGCCGUGGUGGUUUGUCACUCACCCCCCAGCAACCAAUACCUCCAACCAGCUGAGCUGAACUACGACCGACCAGUCCACUCCAUCCGGCAAGCGGCAUUAAGCCUUGUAUGCAUAUGUGUAUGUGUAUGUGUAUGUGUAUAUUCCAGCCCCCUGCUUGGGCCCGGCCCCCAGCCCGCACUUCCCCUCCAGCACACAACCCCGAGGCGCCGUUGCUCAGUUGCAAACCCAUGCCGGAGACAUCUGCCGUACAUCCCGCCCUCCCUCCCUUGAAAACACCAUCACCACCGUACCGCCAGCCUGCCACAGUACCUUCUCGCCAUUUCUUAAUGCGGCUCAGAUCAAUAAAACACCUCUCGGACCAUAUAAGCACACACAGCGGAUGUUAGGGUCGUUCGACUUGAUAGGGUCCUCAGGCUGGUGGACACCGCCGCAGGUUCGCUGCAUCAUUCAUUCCCUGGCGGUGGGUGUGGUGGUGGUGGUGGCGGCGAGGGUCGUGGUAACGGUACUGGUGUGUGCUUGGACACACCAGUACUACCUGCCCCGAGGCGCCAGAGCCAGAGCCCUCACCCAGAGAGCCGGUGGAAAUCAGGUUGAGCGUGACGCCCGCAACCGGCCCCCCUGGAACACCCCCAUGGCCCCCCCUCGACCUCCCGGCAGAGGUGGCGUCAACGGACCUUCUUACACACACAUACAUACAUACAUACACACAAGAAAAAACACGCAUACGGAGAUGCGGUAGGGCGGCCCCAUUGCAUACAUACACACAUACACAUCACUUCACUGCAGAGCACCAGUCGGUGUCAGCUGGCGGCGUUUCCGACCCUCGAAAACGACCACGUCCCACCCACCCCCGCCGAGCGCCAUGUUCACCUGGCUUUCCCGCCAUCAUCAACACCUCCUCCUUCUCACCCCUUCCUGGUCGCGUGACUGAAAAAACUCCUCCUCCCCGCGAUGCCCCGCAUAUCCCACUCCAACUACCUUAACGGAACUCCAACUACCUCAACGGAACUCCAACUACCUCAACGAAGAACCCCUCAUCAGAACCCUUCUGCAGCGACAGCCUCAUCGAAUCUCACAGCGACAGCUUCGUAGCGUAGAGGUCCACUUGCUUGUCG
RNAcentral lists this long non-coding RNA (2401 nucleotides) under Volvox carteri. RNAcentral's name for it is "long non-coding RNA (VCAR_LNC000560)". The record is from RNAcentral. Lineage: Eukaryota; Viridiplantae; Chlorophyta; Chlorophyceae; Chlamydomonadales; Volvocaceae.